CUCGAGACGGCGGGGUAGAGGCCCGCCGCGGUAACGACGGGUAACGGGGGAAUCAGGGUUCGAUUCCGGAGAGGGAGCCCGAGAAACGGCUACCACUUCCAAGGAAGGCAGCAGGCGCGCAACUUACCCUAAUCUCGAUUCGAGGAGGUAGUGACAAGAAAUACCGAUGCGGGACCCUACGGGUGCCGCGUUCGGAAUGAGUACGAUUCGAACCACCUAACGAGGAACGAUCGGAGGGCAAGUCUGGUGCCAGCAGCCGCGGUAAUUCCAGCUCCAAUAGCGUACGUUAAAGUUGCUGCAGUUAAAAAGCUCGUAGUUGAACGUUCGGGUUCCGCGGGACGGGGCCGCCCCGCGAGGGACGGCGCCGCCCCGGGGCUCGUGAUAUCUCAUCUCGCCGCCCGUCGCGAGGCGGACGGAGGGGAUGGAUGAGGUUACCUGGAAAAAAUCGGGGCG
This 453-nucleotide ribosomal RNA is filed under the name uncultured eukaryote. RNAcentral describes it as "bacterial SSU rRNA". It matches the Rfam family "Eukaryotic small subunit ribosomal RNA", at positions 319 to 773 of the family's 1831-position model. The record is from RNAcentral.